UACGUAGGGGGCAAGCGUUGUCCGGAUUUAUUGGGCGUAAAGAGCGUGUAGGCGGCCAGAUAGGUCCGUUGUGAAAACUGGAGGCUUAACCUCCAGCUGUCGAUGGAAACCAUCUGGCUAGAGUCCGGAAGAGGAGAGUGGAAUUCCUGGUGUAGCGGUGAAAUGCGCAGAUAUCAGGAAGAACACCCGUGGCGAAGGCGGCUCUCUGGGCCGAAACUGACGCUGAGGAGCGAAAGCGUGGGGAGCAAACAGG
This 253-nucleotide ribosomal RNA is filed under the name uncultured bacterium. RNAcentral's name for it is "partial 16S ribosomal RNA". It matches the Rfam family "Bacterial small subunit ribosomal RNA", at positions 524 to 776 of the family's 1533-position model. The record is from RNAcentral.